UACAGAGGUCCCGAGCGUUGUUCGGAUUCACUGGGCGUAAAGCGUGCGCAGGCGGUGAUGUAAGACCGAUGUGAAAUCCCCGGGCUUAACCUGGGAACUGCAUCGGUGACUGCAUCGCUCGAGUAUGGCAGAGGGGGGUAGAAUUCCACGUGUAGCAGUGAAAUGCGUAGAGAUGUGGAGGAAUACCGAUGGCGAAGGCAGCCCCCUGGGUCAAUACUGACGCUCAUGCACGAAAGCGUGGGGAGCAAACAGG
Molecule: ribosomal RNA, 253 nt
Filed under: uncultured bacterium
Lineage: Bacteria
Description: partial 16S ribosomal RNA
Rfam family: Bacterial small subunit ribosomal RNA
Source: RNAcentral